AUGACGGCUAGCGUCAAGUGCGAUCCCACGGAUCAGGAGUUGAUCGAGCACCUUGAGGCCAAAGUGAGUGCUGACAGCGCGAGAUCUCACCCUCUCAUCGAUUUGUUCAUACCAACCAUUGACAGCGAUCACGGCAUAUGCUACACCCAUCCUGAGAAAUUUCCAGGUAUCACACUGAGUGGCCUAAGCAAGCAUUUCUUCCAACGCAAUUCCAGGGCAUUCAAAAGGGGCACGUGGACGCGUCGCAAGAUACAGUCGGAGUGUGGCAUGCACGCGAUGUGGCACAACACCGGCAAUACCUUGCCGGUGAUGGUCAACGGCCGGCAGAUGGGCAGCAAAAAGGUUCUGGUGCUGCACACCAACAAGAACUUCGACCAACAAAGGACCAACUAG
Molecule: ribosomal RNA, 393 nt
Filed under: Triticum aestivum (bread wheat)
Lineage: Eukaryota; Viridiplantae; Streptophyta; Magnoliopsida; Poales; Poaceae
Description: partial small subunit ribosomal RNA
Source: RNAcentral